GUGUCCAUUUUGGGAUCACAUCUGUUAAUUUUUUUUAUCGUUCUAAAUUUUCAUUUCGCACUAUAUAUAAUGAGUUAGCAUCCACUUCGACCUUUUUCUCUGGCAUUUUUAUCUGAAUCAUCGUCUACCGGCCAUCUAGAUGUGUUUCACCUAUGGAAGCAUGAUUUAGAAUAGCCAUUGUUAUAAUAUUUUGGCAGGCAUAUAAUGUUGCCAUGGCAAUUU
Molecule: long non-coding RNA, 222 nt
Filed under: Phoenix dactylifera (date palm)
Lineage: Eukaryota; Viridiplantae; Streptophyta; Magnoliopsida; Arecales; Arecaceae
Description: long non-coding RNA (PDAC_LNC002180)
Source: RNAcentral